UACCAGCACCCCGAGUGGUCGGGACGUUUUAUUGGGCCUAAAGCAUCCGUAGCCGGUUCUACAAGUCUUCCGUUAAAUCCACCUGCUUAACAGAUGGGCUGCGGAAGAUACUAUGGAGCUAGGAGGCGGGAGAGGCAAGCGGUACUCGAUGGGUAGGGGUAAAAUCCGUUGAUCCAUUGAAGACCACCAGUGGCGAAGGCGGCUUGCCAGAACGCGCUCGACGGUGAGGGAUGAAAAGCUGGGGGGAGCAAACCGGG
Molecule: ribosomal RNA, 257 nt
Filed under: uncultured bacterium
Lineage: Bacteria
Description: partial 16S ribosomal RNA
Rfam family: Archaeal small subunit ribosomal RNA
Source: RNAcentral